Molecule: ribosomal RNA, 245 nt
Filed under: uncultured bacterium
Lineage: Bacteria
Description: partial 16S ribosomal RNA
Rfam family: Bacterial small subunit ribosomal RNA
Source: RNAcentral
UACAGAGGUCUCAAGCGUUGUUCGGAUUCAUUGGGCGUAAAGGGUGCGUAGGUGGCGAUGUAAGUCGGAUGUGAAAUCUCCAGGCUCAACUUGGAAACUGCAUUCGAUACUGCGUCGCUCGAGGAUUGUAGAGGGCAUUGGAAUUCACGGUGUAGCAGUGAAAUGCGUAGAUAUCGUGAGGAAGACCAGUGGCGAAGGCGAAUGCCUGGGCAAUUCCUGACACUGAGGCACGAAGGCCAGGGGAG